This 433-nucleotide ribosomal RNA is filed under the name uncultured bacterium. Its description in RNAcentral is "partial 16S ribosomal RNA". It matches the Rfam family "Bacterial small subunit ribosomal RNA", at positions 29 to 507 of the family's 1533-position model. The record is from RNAcentral.
AACGAACGCUGGCGGCAUGCCUAACACAUGCAAGUCGAACGAGACCUUCGGGUCUAGUGGCGCACGGGUGCGUAACGCGUGGGAACCUGCCCUUAGGUUCGGAAUAACUCCCCGAAAGGGGUGCUAAUACCGGAUAAUGUCUUCGGACCAAAGAUUUAUCGCCUUUGGAUGGGCCCGCGUUGGAUUAGCUAGUUGGUAGGGUAAAAGCCUACCAAGGCGACGAUCCAUAGCUGGUCUGAGAGGAUGAUCAGCCACACUGGGACUGAGACACGGCCCAGACUCCUACGGGAGGGAGGAGUGGGGAAUAUUGGACCAUGGGCGAAAGCCUGAUGCAGCAAUGCCGCGUGAGUGAUGAAGGCCUUAGGGUUGUAAAGCUCUUUUACCCGGGAUGAUAAUGACGGUACCGGGAGAAUAAGCCCCGGCUAACUCCGUG